Molecule: long non-coding RNA, 4424 nt
Filed under: Sus scrofa (pig)
Lineage: Eukaryota; Metazoa; Chordata; Mammalia; Artiodactyla; Suidae
Description: lncRNA (ENSSSCG00055016319.1)
Source: RNAcentral
UCAUGGAUACUAUAAAAGCUUGUCUUCACCUGUAUUGCUUAUCAAAACAUACCUAUCAUAUACAAUUCAUUGUACUACAACAUUUCUUCCAAUACUUUGCACUUACUGUUUUUCCAACUUUGAAGCAGUGUGUACUUACUUAGGAGUCAGGAGUACCCUGAGUAGGUAAAUUACAUCCCUAUGGUCUGGAACACAGUAAAAGCAAAAAGGCUUUUGAUUCAGUGAUUUGUGCUUUCUUCCUUCUGCACCUUCCUGCAGACACUGUUGGCAGAGAAGCUGAAUUGGCACCCUGGGCUUGGGCAACUGCUGCUAAAAGACGGUGUCCUGGGAGCAGAACUUUCCUGUAACUGAGUGAUUCCUCCCGUUGGUUUCAGACCAGUGUAAUUGAUUCUUGUUCUUCUUUUCUUUGUUUUGUCAUUUAAUUCUUUAAUUAAACUCUCUUGUUAUUGGGAUUAAAAUCAUUGUAACCUGCCCCAGUUUUUCUUAUCUUGCUCUUUGAAGAUAUGAGAGUUCUGAACUUUCUAAUCUCAGGGCUGAAUGAAUACAAUUCAACCUCAUGUCUUAGAAUAGGGAUUCUCAUUCAAAGAGGCUGGCUUCUUGGGGGGGUGUGUUACCACAACCUUGAGGUAGAAAGUAAGAGGGAAGAGGGGCUGCCAGUUGAUGAAAAAAGCAUAUUCAGUAUUCUAAGCUAAUUAAAUCAAAACAAAUGAAUUUGUUCUGCUAACCAAGACAUAGAGAGUUAACCCUAUAAAAUCUCCUUUAUGGGCAUACAAGUUAGCAACUCCCAACAAGAUGAGUAUCUCUCUCUCCAGGUCAGAGUUGCCGAAUAUCUGUAAAGUGAUGGGCUACCUUCAAGAGAAAUGUACAGGGUUGUUCUCAAAAGCAUCAUUUGUAAUAGCAAACUCGGAAAGAAUUGGAAAAAAACUAAAGAUCCAUCAAAGGCAGAGUAGCUGAAUAAGGUCAUAUCAUGGAGUGGGGUAUUAUUGGGUCAUUGAUGUGGAUGAACAGAUGUGCUGAUAUUGGCAGAUCUCCAACACACAUUUCAAGUUAAAACCACAACAGCAUGUAGGACACAAUGAAUAGUAUGAUCCCUUUAGUAUAAAAAUGGUCCCAAACCCUAUAAAAGCUGUAAACAUCCCUCUCCCUGUCAUUUACCAGCCUCUCUCUCAUUCUGUUUCUCUCUCCUGUGCUAUGACUUUUUUCUUCUCCUGGAAAGACACAUAAGAAUUAUGUUAGAAGGGUUAGUUUUGGGAAGAGAGACUAUGGGGACGGAAACGUAAAAAUUUCACUUUGUACUUUUUGUUUACAUUUUAAAAUCAUCUAACCAGCCGUCUCAUCAUUUAUUCUACAAAUACUUGUUGAAUGGCUACCACGUUUCAGGCGGUGCCCCUACUCUCUAAAAGAAUGGCGUGACCCUGACUUGAAGAAAGCUAAGCCUAGUGAGGAAAUAGACGGUAAUAAGGAAAUGUAGAAAAGAUAAUUCAAGACAGUUCUCAGAGUUAAGAAGAAUCAAAAAGGUCUUUAGUUAAAGAGUAACAGCAGAAGACUACUUUAGAUAGCAUAGUACUCAGCGCUUAAAUGCUCCAUAAAGCAAAGAAAACAAAACAAAAUAAAAUACUCCCAAAUGGAAUGCCUCACAACAAGCUCAGCUUUGCAAGUCAUUUGUGACUCAGCUGAUCUAAGCUGGGAUUUUCUGGGAAGCGCUGGGUUUGCGAGCUGAAGGCUGAGCUUAAUACUGCUCUGUAUUAGUCUGGUCUAGGGCCCAGGCUGGAAGUUCCAGCAGCCACUUGGAGAGGCUCUUUUCCUGAUAAAUCACCAGAGUGCAAAAGGGCCAAGUGAAACUGCACAAGCCAUUGCAGGCCUUUGCUUUUAUCAUGUCUACUGAUAUCUCAUUGGCCGAAUCAAAUCCUAUGGCCAAGUCCAGUGACAAUGGAGUGGAAAGUUACCCUCCACUCAUGGGGAUGGUGCUUGGAAGUAAAUAUUAUGCUGCAAAAUAUUUGACACUAUUGAUCAAGGCCUAUCUGAUCACUGAGUAGAAACUGCACAACUGUGAGCCAGAUUUGCUAAGACCACGGUAAGGUCUAGGGGUGAGAGUGAGGGACUUGAGCCAUUUCAAGCAGAGAAAAUAAUAAAUUCAAAAUUAUUAUCUAAAUUGUCAGUUGGUUGGUAGGAUUGUAAGUCAUUUUUUAUUUAAACGUUUCUGUAAAAAUUAACCUUAGUAAAUGGUCUUUCACAAAGGAGUAGCAUGCCAGAUCUGAGCUGCGUCUGUGACCUACAGCACAGCUCACGGCAGCACUGGAUCCUUAACUCACUGAGCGGAUCCAGGAAUUGAACCUAUAUCCUCAUGGAUACCAAUUGGGUUAGUUACUGCUAGACACAAUGGAACUCCUAGACUUUCUGGUUUUUCAAAAUGAUAUUCAGUCCGAUGAUAAAGUUCUCUAAGAGUUAUCAGAAAUGUCAUUGGACUGCUUACAUUUUUAUCCAGGGUAGUACUUAGCUAAACCACGGAGCAGGUUUUAGGGGCAGUGGUAAUCAGAAAUAAAUUUGCUUUUAUGAUUAUACCCUUUGAAUCUUGUCCAGCCUAUCAGUUACACUAACAUUUAUUAAAUUAAAGAUAGCCAUCAAAGCAUUGUGUUAAGGGUUUUCUAGCUGUUACCUCAUUCCCAAGAACACAGUAAGGUAAUUACUAUUAUCCUCAUUUUCUGGAUGAACACAUCAAAGGCAAGGGAGGUCAAGUGAUUGCCCAAGGUCACAGAAUAAUAAAUGUCAAAGCUGGGAUUCAAGUUUAAUCCAGUCCAUCUGACUGUGAGUCUGUGCUCCUAGUGGGUCUGAUUUCUUUCCUGGUGAAAAGCCCUUGUAGUAUGUGUGGGGUGUGACUGCACUCUCCACAGCUCCGUAUCCAUCCCCCAGGCCAAGCAGGCCCAGAUUCUAAAGCCACUUUUGCAGGGCAUGAGUUCAGUCUUUCUCCAUCCCAGUCAUUCUCCUUACCUUCCCCCCAUUUAUCACGUGUGGCCCUUGUGUAUGUGUGGAUACUAAAAAUUACAUUCGAUCACAUGUGUGCAUGUGACUUAGCGGGGGUGUCCUUGCCUAACCAUCGCGGGGCCCUGGGAGUAGGGAAGGGCCUCUUGGAUGCACUUUCUGCAGGAUCCCAUCUCUUCCUGUGCUUUUCCCCAGACUGGCCAUGGAGGAUCCUCCCUGUAGGCGCCUGUGCAAGGCGUAUCAAUUACCUCUUUAUGUGGACCUCCAGUUCCUUGAAUUUGAUGAGCUGCAGGGAGAAUUGGAUAGUGGCAGACGUUAAACAGCAAUGACAACAACAGCUCAGUUUCCCCAAAAAACUCUCUAGUAAUACUGGAAAUAGUUUUGUCCUUUGGUUUCCCAAACAUUCACUUAUUUAUACACUUGUCCAUGCAUUCAUUCACACAAAGAAAGCUUUACCGAGAGUCCCUGCUGCAUUAGGUCCUGCGAUGCAAGAAUGGAGAAGAGGAGUCCCCUGUCCUUGGGGAGCUCAGCUUCUAGACUGGGAAGUGGGUAUGUAAAUCAGUUGUCAUGCUCUGGUAAAAAAGUACUAAAUUGAGGUGUGAACCAGAUGCCAUGAGAACACCCAGGAAUAGGUAACUCAAAGUGUGCAGGAUGUCAAACUGUGUUAGUCAUGGCGUUGGGCCUAAAUUAGAAAACCAAAAAAACCCCCAGAAGCCAAAAAAAAAACCACACCCCCAAACUAUGAGAACCCUCCGUUUUGAAUUAUUCCUUUAUUUGACAGAAAUUUUUUUAUCUCCUGAAGGGCAAGGGGGGAUGAAUGCAGUGUCUUUGGUGCAGAAAGACCUGUUUGAUCUUGAAGCAAAUCACCCCAAGGAUUCCCCAUGAUUUUCAUAUUGUCCUUUUAUAAAGAGAGAUUUGGGUUACUGAGCCAGCGGGUCUGUCCCUGUGCCCGUCUGUCUCAGUCCCGCUGAUCCUUCUAGAGUGCUUUCUGGAAAGAGUGACCCGUUUGAUACCUUUGCCAUGUGCUGGCACAAGUAACCAAAUAGCUGCACAAAGAUAAGAGUUCAAGGGUAUUCGCUGAGGUGUUGCUUAUAACGACAAUAGGAAAUAUCCUAAAUAUCCAUCCACAGGGGAUUGAUUAAAUUCGUUCAGAACAUGCUGCAAUGUAAUGCCAAGCUGUUCUUUAAAAGAUGAAUAAGAUCUAUAUGUAUUAAUCAGGAAGAGUGUUAAUGAUACAUAAAGUAAAAAUUAAAAAGUGUAUUGAACUGUGUGUAAAUUAUUAUGGUUUUUUUCAUGUAAAUUAAUGUAUGCAUAAAAAUUCUGUUGGGAUGUAUUCCAAACUGAACAGAGGCUCUUGUGGAGGAAGGGGUAUGUGAAGUGCCUUGAAGGGAACUUCACUUUCUCUUUUAAGCACAUCUGUAUUUUUUGCAUUUUGAAUUAUUUUU